UACGGAGGGUGCUAGCGUUGUUCGGAAUCACUGGGCGUAAAGAGCGCGUAGGCGGAAGAUUAAGUUAGACGUGAAAGCCCCGGGCUUAACCUGGGAUGUGCGUUUAAGACUGGUCUUCUUGAGGGAAGAAGGGGAGAGUGGAAUUCCUAGUGUAGAGGUGAAAUUCGUAGAUAUUAGGAGGAACACCAGUGGCGAAGGCGACUCUCUGGUCUUCAACUGACGCUGAGGCGCGAAAGCGUGGGGAGCAAACAGG
This 253-nucleotide ribosomal RNA is filed under the name uncultured bacterium. Its description in RNAcentral is "partial 16S ribosomal RNA". It matches the Rfam family "Bacterial small subunit ribosomal RNA", at positions 524 to 776 of the family's 1533-position model. The record is from RNAcentral.